GCUGUAACCAAUUCUGGAAAAGCAAACGCGACGAUUACUGGAAUAUUCUCAUUGGGAAUGGAAACGAUGAUUUUACAUCUACUCUAGAAGAGAUAGCUUACUUGUGGAAUAAACUUUCUCUCGCUCGCCACGUUUCGCCGUUUUCCCCAUCGCUAUGCCCGUUUGUUCUCGACAAGAGGAGCGUGGUCGAGCGAUCUCCAGGGAAAAGACGGACCAGACGAUUCGAGAGAGAAGCUGCGAAUGACACGCGGAAAUGAGGGUACGGUCUCGAGGACGAAUUCAAACUCGGCGAAUCUCGAUUACGAACAAGCCGGUCGCGGCAGGAAAUUCAACGGAAAGGAAUCUCCCCUCGAAAGGACAAGGUUUUCGGGCUGAAUUCUCCAAGCAUACGUGAGUCCCCGGAAGCGUAUGCUUCGAGCACCGGUGGGCGUCCACCGCGCGGAUUUAUCGACUAAUCGGUAACAGGUGCCUGGCAGGAGCCGAUAGCGUUAAAAUAAAUCACUGCAGGGUCGUGGAGCGAAACGAUCCCACGAACACACGAACGCAAAGGAAGGACUUUGUUGUAGGUGGUUUCUUACCUAUGAUGGUAGAUCGGAGCGACGACGCGUGUCGGACGAGCGCAGAGUCGAUGGAGCUUGGUCCCGAUCGGUGGAUCGGUGGUAGGUUCGUGAAACUGGAUGACGAGGAGCAGCCGUGCUUCCAGGUGGAAGCGCCGCGGCCGAUUGAGAGCGACGAGAGCGCGACCUCGGGGGUUGUGGCUACGUUUGAUUGUAGCUACGAGGUAUUCGAGCCGAUCGGGUCUUGCAACACUGCUAACGGAGGUGUCAGAAGAUAGAAGGAUAAGAGAACACGGAGCGACGAGACCGAUAAAAAUCGAUUCCUCCGCAAGAAUCGAAGCCCUUUCAGGACGUUUGCGAACGAUGGCGACGACGGAGGAGAAGAAUCGCGAAAAAUAUCCAAGAACGAGCUAGAGGGGAACGGAAGAUCCUGGCCUGUCCACGGCAGGCACUCCUCUAUCACGGUAUACCCAUCUUCCGUGUAAUUAAUUCGAGGAGGAACGGAUGGAUCGCGGAGGGGAAGAUUGCCUCCAGUGGCAUCGGCCACUUACCAGCUCUCUUCUUCGCGAGACUAUCGCCACUCCUCGAUCUUCGUCGAGUUUCCGCGUUUCUACCCCCAAAAGACACGCGUGUACUGUCGAAUCCUUUCAAAGUGUCGCGAUUUUUCCCUCGCCUAACGUCGCGAAGCCAUCUCCCUUCUUGGAAUUGCUAGGUCGAGGCUUGGUGUUAUUUCUUGGAUACUGUGACGAUGGAAUUUUAUGUUUAAGCUUUGAAUUUUGUAGUGACAAUAAUAAAAGAGUUGGAUAAAG
Hylaeus anthracinus is the source of this 1366-nucleotide long non-coding RNA. RefSeq lists it as uncharacterized. Lineage: Eukaryota; Metazoa; Arthropoda; Insecta; Hymenoptera; Colletidae. The record is from RefSeq and is a predicted model, not a curated record. The transcript has 5 exons.